UAGGGAAUCUUCCACAAUGGACGAAAGUCUGAUGGAGCAACGCCGCGUGAGUGAAGAAAGGUUUUCGGAUCGUAAAGCUCUGUUGUUGGUGAAGAAGGAUAGAGGCAGUAACUGGUCUUUAUUUGACGGUAAUCAACCAGAAAGUCACGGCUAACUACGUGCAGCAGCCGCGGUAAUACGUAGUGGCAAGCGUUGUCCGGAUU
This 203-nucleotide ribosomal RNA is filed under the name uncultured bacterium. RNAcentral's name for it is "partial 16S ribosomal RNA". It matches the Rfam family "Bacterial small subunit ribosomal RNA", at positions 355 to 551 of the family's 1533-position model. The record is from RNAcentral.